RNAcentral lists this transfer RNA (77 nucleotides) under Galactobacillus timonensis. RNAcentral describes it as "tRNA-Pro". It matches the Rfam family "tRNA". Rfam says of the family: Transfer RNA (tRNA) molecules are approximately 80 nucleotides in length. Their secondary structure includes four short double-helical elements and three loops (D, anti-codon, and T loops). The record is from RNAcentral. RNAcentral also lists the same sequence under 1 other name. Lineage: Bacteria; Bacillati; Bacillota; Erysipelotrichia; Erysipelotrichales; Erysipelotrichaceae.
CGGAAUAUAGCGCAGCUUGGUAGCGCGCAUCGUUAGGGACGAUGAGGUCACGGGUUCGAAUCCCGUUAUUCCGACCA